Molecule: ribosomal RNA, 291 nt
Filed under: Escherichia coli
Lineage: Bacteria; Pseudomonadati; Pseudomonadota; Gammaproteobacteria; Enterobacterales; Enterobacteriaceae
Description: partial 16S ribosomal RNA
Rfam family: Bacterial small subunit ribosomal RNA
Source: RNAcentral
UUAAAUUGAAGAGUUUGAUCAUGGCUCAGAUUGAACGCUGGCGGCAGGCCUAACACAUGCAAGUCGAACGGUAACAGGAAGAAGCUUGCUUCUUUGCUGACGAGUGGCGGACGGGUGAGUAAUGUCUGGGAAACUGCCUGAUGGAGGGGGAUAACUACUGGAAACGGUAGCUAAUACCGCAUAACGUCGCAAGACCAAAGAGGGGGACCUUCGGGCCUCUUGCCAUCGGAUGUGCCCAGAUGGGAUUAGCUAGUAGGUGGGGUAACGGCUCACCUAGGCGACGAUCCCUAG